This 1735-nucleotide long non-coding RNA is filed under the name Calidris pugnax (ruff). RNAcentral describes it as "lncRNA (ENSCPUG00000004597.1)". The record is from RNAcentral. Lineage: Eukaryota; Metazoa; Chordata; Aves; Charadriiformes; Scolopacidae.
CCCCUCAGAUGGGUUUUUGGGGGCACCCUGGGCCCCUGUGACCUCCUGGACGUGUUUUGGGGACAACCUGAAGCCUUGUGACACCUCGGACUUGGUUUUGGGGACAACCUGGACUCCUCGGACGUGUUUUGGGGGACAGCUCGAAGCCCUGUGACCCCUCGGACGUGCUUUUGGGGACAAACUGGACCCCUAUAACCCCUCGGAUGGGUUUUGGGGGACAACUUGAAGCCCUGCCACCCCUCGGACGUGAUUUUGGGGACAACCCGGACCCCUGUAACCCCAUGUGUGUGGUUUUGGAGACAACCCAGACCCCUCGGACGUGGUUUUGGGGACAAUCUGGAGCCUUGGGACCCCUCGGAUGUGCUUUGGGGGACAAUCUGGAGCUCUGUGACCCCUCGGACAUGAUUUUGGGGACAACCCAGACCCCUCAGAUGUGCUUUUGGGGACAACCUGGACCCUCUGGGACACCUUGGACGUGGUUUUGGGGACACCCUGGAGCUCUCAGAUGUUUUUUGGGGGACAACUUGGUGCCCUGGGACCCCUGAGAUGGGUUUUUGGGGACAAUCUGGAGCCCUGUGGCCCCCCCCCUUGCCCCCAGCCACCUCUGUCCCCCUCUGGCCGGGCACGGGGGCAGGGAGACGUGUCCCUUGUCCCCGUCCCCCCAUGUCCCCCCCCUCGGGAGCUGUUUACGCGCCGCGGGGACGGGUCAAGGGCAUGUUUUGUAACGGGAGGAGCUGGAGCGGGGCCAGUGGCCACUGGAAACGGGCACCGCCGCCUCCCCCCCCACCCAAAAAAGCCCCCUUUCACCCCAAACCAGCACCCUUUCACCCCCAAACGCCCAUUUCACCCCCCAAAACUGAAAUUUCAUCCCCAAAAAGCCCCCGUUUCACCCCCAAAAAACCCAAUUUCACCCCCAAACCCCUGAUUUCACCCCAAAAUACCUUAAUUUCUCCCCCCAAAAGGCCUCAUUUCAUCCCCAUAAAGCCCAAUUUCACCCCAAAAAGCCCAACUGCACCCCUGAAGGCCCAGUUUCACACCAAAAAGCCGUAUUUCACCCCCAAAACUCCCCAUUUUCACCCCCCAAAGAGCCCCUUUUCACCCCUAAAAAUAUUUCAUCCUCAAAGAGCCCCAUUUCAUCUCCCCCAAAACCUCAAAUUUCACCCCAAAAAGCCCAAUUUCACCCCAAAAAGCCACAUUUCACCCUCAACCUCCCCAUUUUCACCCCAAAAAGAGCUCCUUUUCACCCCUAAAAAAAAUUUCACUCAAAAAGCCCUAUUUCAUCUCCCCAAACCCCACAAUUUCAACCCAAAACCCUCAAAUUUCACCCACAAAAGGCACCAUUUCACUCCCCAAAACCUCAAAUUUCUCCCCAAAAAGCUCCAUUUUCACCCCCCAAAAGCCCAAUUUAACCCAUUUCACCUCAAAAAAAAAAACCCUUUCACCCCCAAAAAGCCCAAUUUCACUCUAAAAACAGAAAUUUCAUCCCAAACCCCCACAAUUUCACCCCUAAAAGACACUUUCACCCCCCAGAAGGCCCUGUUUUACCCCCAAAAAACCCAAUUUUGCUGCAAAGAAGCCCCAUUUCAUUUUCAAAAAGCUGCACUUUCACCCCUGAAACCCCCAUUUCACCCCCAAAAGGGCCCCAUUUCACCCCAAAACGGCUCUAAACGUCUCUCAUUGAUGGAUUGAGUUGUGACCGGUCUCAGCCCGGGGGAGGGGGGGGGAAUUAUCGCUC